CCUACGGGGGGCAGCAGUGAGGAAUAUUGGUCAAUGGACGAGAGUCUGAACCAGCCAAGUAGCGUGAAGGAUGACUGCCCUAUGGGUUGUAAACUUCUUUUAUAUGGGAAUAAAAUGUUCCACGUGUGGGAUUUUGUAUGUACCAUAUGAAUAAGGAUCGGCUAACUCCGUGCCAGCAGCCGCGGUAAUACGGAGGAUCCGAGCGUUAUCCGGAUUUAUUGGGUUUAAAGGGAGCGUAGGUGGAUUGUUAAGUCAGUUGUGAAAGUUUGCGGCUCAACCGUAAAAUUGCAGUUGAAACUGGCAGUCUUGAGUACAGUAGAGGUGGGCGGAAUUCGUGGUGUAGCGGUGAAAUGCUUAGAUAUCACGAAAAACUCCGAUUGCGAAGGCAGUUCACUGGACUGCAACUGACACUGAGGCUCGAAAGUGUGGGUAUCAAACAGGAUUAGAUACCCGAGUAGUC
RNAcentral lists this ribosomal RNA (460 nucleotides) under uncultured bacterium. RNAcentral's name for it is "partial 16S ribosomal RNA". It matches the Rfam family "Bacterial small subunit ribosomal RNA", at positions 338 to 795 of the family's 1533-position model. The record is from RNAcentral.